AUUGAACGCUGGCGGCAUGCCUUACACAUGCAAGUCGAACGGUAACGCGGGGCAACCUGGCGAUGAGUGGCGAACGGGUGAGUAAUAUAUCGGAACGUGCCCAGUCGUGGGGGAUAACGUAGCGAAAGUUGCGCUAAUACCGCAUACGAUCUAAGGAUGAAAGCGGGGGAUCGCAAGACCUCGCGCGAUUGGAGCGGCCGAUAUCAGAUUAGGUAGUUGGUGGGGUAAAGGCUCACCAAGCCAACGAUCUGUAGCUGGUCUGAGAGGACGACCAGCCACACUGGAACUGAGACAAGGUCCAGACUCCUACGGGAGGCAGCAGUGGGGAAUUUUGGACAAUGGACGCAAGUCUGAUCCAGCCGUUCCGCGUGCAGGAUGAAGGCCCUCGGGUUGUAAACUGCUUUUGUACGGAACGAAAAGGUCUCUCUUAAUACGGGGGACUCAUGACGGUACCGUAAGAAUAAGCACCGGCUAACUACGUGCCAGCAGCCGCGGUAA
Molecule: ribosomal RNA, 498 nt
Filed under: uncultured bacterium
Lineage: Bacteria
Description: partial 16S ribosomal RNA
Rfam family: Bacterial small subunit ribosomal RNA
Source: RNAcentral